Molecule: unclassified non-coding RNA, 201 nt
Filed under: Glomeromycetes sp.
Lineage: Eukaryota; Fungi; Glomeromycota; Glomeromycetes
Description: partial internal transcribed spacer 2
Source: RNAcentral
GUGAAUCAUCAAAUUUUUGAACGCAAAUUGCACUCCCUUCUGAUAGUAGGCCUGUGUCUGUGUGAGCGUAAAAAAAAUCGACAUCGUUGCUGUUUCGCUGUUGUUUUCGUCGGAAAUUGGGGUAUCUUAAAUCUUUGGUUUAAGUGACUUAAAAUUAUCUUUACUAUUCCUUGAACGUUUCCAAGAUUUAAUGCUUUAUAC